GGGGGAACUGAAACAUCUAAGUACCCCGAGGAAAAGAAAUCAACCGAGAUUCCCCCAGUAGCGGCGAGCGAACGGGGAGGAGCCCAGAGCCUGAAUCAGCAUGUGUGUUAGUGGAAGCGUCUGGAAAGGCGCGCGAUACAGGGUGACAGCCCCGUACACAAAAGCGCAUGUGCUGUGAGCUCGAUGAGUAGGGCGGGACACGUGGUAUCCUGUCUGAAUAUGGGGGGACCAUCCUCCAAGGCUAAAUACUCCUGACUGACCGAUAGUGAACCAGUACCGUGAGGGAAAGGCGAAAAGAACCCCGGCGAGGGGAGUGAAAAAGAACCUGAAACCGUGU
Molecule: ribosomal RNA, 337 nt
Filed under: Salmonella enterica
Lineage: Bacteria; Pseudomonadati; Pseudomonadota; Gammaproteobacteria; Enterobacterales; Enterobacteriaceae
Also listed under: 3 other names
Description: partial 23S ribosomal RNA
Rfam family: Bacterial large subunit ribosomal RNA
Source: RNAcentral